CCUACGGGAGGCUGCAGUGGGGAAUAUUGGGCAAUGGGCGCAAGCCUGACCCAGCAACGCCGCGUGAAGGAAGAAGGCUUUCGGGUUGUAAACUUCUUUUAAGAGGGAAGAGCAGAAGACGGUACCUCUUGAAUAAGCCACGGCUAAAUACGUGGCAGCAGCCGCGGUAAUACGUAGGUGGCAAGCGUUGUCCGGAUUUACUGGGUGUAAAGGGCGUGUAGCCGGGCUGACAAGUCAGAUGUGAAAUCCCGUGGCUCAACCACGGAACUGCGGUUGAAACUGGCGGUCUUGAGUAUCGGAGAGGCAGGCGGAAUUCCUAGUGUAGCGGUGAAAUGCGUAGAUAUUAGGAGGAACACCAGUGGCGAAGGCGGCCUGCUGGACGACAACUGACGGUGAGGCGCGAAAGCGUGGGGAGCAAACAGGAUUAGAUACCCCUGUAGUC
RNAcentral lists this ribosomal RNA (442 nucleotides) under uncultured bacterium. RNAcentral describes it as "partial 16S ribosomal RNA". It matches the Rfam family "Bacterial small subunit ribosomal RNA", at positions 338 to 795 of the family's 1533-position model. The record is from RNAcentral.